Paramuricea clavata is the source of this 466-nucleotide non-coding RNA. The record is from the annotation of a GenBank genome assembly. NCBI's taxonomy places the organism in Eukaryota, Metazoa, Cnidaria, Anthozoa, Malacalcyonacea, Plexauridae.
AGAAGUUCUGGAAAAUUAGCCGUAGCCGUUCCUUAAUUAUAGACAUCUUGUAGAGAUACAGCAUAUCUAAAAAUCUAUAAUCAUUCGUAUAGACACUUGUAGUGAGCAUGUCUCAAAUCUUGUUAAAAUGAUAUCAUAAAUGGUGCACUACAGUUUGGAGAAAUUAACUGUAGCCAUUAAUUAAUUAAAGGCAUUAAUUAGAGAUGUUAUUUCCAGGGAAAUAAACUGUAACCAUUCCAUAAUUAAAACCAUUUUGUAGAAAUACGGUACAUAAAAAUGAAUAAUCAUAUAGCUUAGUGGUUUUGACAUACACUUAUACUGGUCUCAAAUUAAAAGUCAAAAUUUUGUCAUAAUAAUAUGAUGCGCAAUUUUGGAGAAAUUAACUGUAACCAUUACAAUUAAUGAAAGACAUUAAUUAGAGAACUUAAUUCUGUAGAAAUUAACUGUAACCAUUCUUAUAUUAAAG